UACAAAGAUUGUUAACAAAGUUCUUUGGAAAGGAUUUGGAACAUAGGAAGUGACAGCUGGGGGUGUAACUAAUGUUACGUGUGAUAAGAAAAGCGGAGGGGUGAAGGCGUGAACACUCAGAGAGCAACGCUUGAGCAUCACAUUUACUGGCAAUUACAAGGGUUACGCCAGCUCCAUCUCUGUUCCGAGCCAGAUGGUACCAGAGAGGAGGCUAGACCCCCGCUACCAUCUAAAUAGGUUGCCAGGCCAACAGAGAGAUUCACCAAAGAUGUAUAUCAGACCACCUGAUGCUGGAAGACCAGUUGAGCUGCCUCUCUUCCCAUCUGCCCUAGCAGUCCCUCGCUUCCCAGGCAAUGACGGGCCCUGUUGCUGUGGUGAUGGAUGACUUUGUGUCGAGUGGCAGAGUUGGGGGGUCUUAGGUGAUACCACCUGUCUACGAAGGAAAGUGAGAAUGUAACAGAGAAAAAGAGAGAGGGCAUCUUUUUUCUGUUUGACUGACAGUCUAUUGUUUUUGCUCCCCUUUUCUUCUCACUAGUGCAUUUCUCAGUAUAUUUUCAUAUGAAUUUAAACUAAGCCUACUAUACACAGAGUUUAUUAUAUAUAUAUAUAUAUAUAUAUAUAUAUAUAUAUAUUCUUAUACAUAUUCUUAUUUCUAUCAUGACAACUCUCUGAAGAUUUUAGUAUGGUAAUGGAUAUGGCAAUGGUAAUGUAUUUGGUCUUGGUGGAAUAGAUCUGCUAUGCUGAUGAAUUGCUGUUGCUGUUGGUUAUUGCUGUUGUUGAGGAUUGUUACUGCUGCAAAACAAGGAACAUGCUACUGCCAAUACAGUGCUGUGAGUAUUUUAGACAUACUGCUGCUACACAAAUAGCAUAUAUAAUUAUCCAUAGCAGAGCUAUACAGGUGGAGCUGGGGAGGUGGAGGGUUUCAGAAGAACCCUGAAAGUGUGCUGUGAAAUACUAACCAUCCAUUUAAAUGUAGUAAGCUCAUUGGCUGUGUAUGCAACUGCUUGUACUAAGCAGUUUAAUGCUUUAAAUAUCAUUAGUUUGCAUUAAUGACUCAUCAGCCAUGUGCCGUCUAUAGUUUAAUGACAGAACUUGGCACUACAUACAUAUAUAUAGUAACCUGCAACUUCUAAUAAAUUCAUAAUUUUAUAAUUUCUAUAUAUGUAACACUUAUGUAUUGUUUUUAAUUAAAAACAUGAAGUUUAAGUAAUAAUGGGACUUCCUUUUCUGCUUCAAAGAGUUUGUCAUAGUUUGAACCAGGCAUGAGAAUGCAAACACACACACACAAGACACAGGGAAAAAAAAACAGCACAGCAACAACACACACCCCACACACUGUGAGAGAAGCUCCUCAUGCUGAAAGUCCCAUGAGUUCUUCUCCUGUCAAAAACCAUCGUUCUCAAACAGCAGCUCUUUGACAGAAGCCCACAAUCUAGCAGAAAACCCUCCGCUCAAUGCGACAGAAUGCACUCUGACACUGCAAUACACAAUAGAAGAUCUCACCAUUUUCUCUUCACCUGUGUGUUACGGUGUCACUGUUCAACACACUGUAGUCACAUUAUAAGACUCUCAAUUUCAGUGCACUGAAUGG
Molecule: long non-coding RNA, 1591 nt
Organism: Labeo rohita (rohu)
Lineage: Eukaryota; Metazoa; Chordata; Actinopteri; Cypriniformes; Cyprinidae
Exons: 3
Source: RefSeq, a predicted model, not a curated record